AAGAAAUAAAAAGAAGAAGACAUGCGAUGGUGAGAAACAACAAAAUCGUUCAUGGCGAAGUAUACGGCGGCGAUUUUAAAAUGCUCGUAUAAAAUUCUAAAGAAAAACAGAAUUUAGUCAAACGCCUCCUCUGAUAGCUCCGGGAUUAGCUCGACAGAUAAUUGUAGUAAGGAAAUUAAGCAACGAGAGAUGUUUAUCGUGAUGUUACCAAUAGGAAGAGCAGAUCUUCGGGAAUGCCGAUUAACGUUUCGGAUAAUCUCUUGAUUCGUCACCCUCAACGUCAUCUAAACAUUCCACAAAGGCAGCCUGUAUACGCAUCACCGUCACUAUCGUCUAGGAAAGCUGGGUUUGCAAGAUGAGCACCGCUACAGCAGGAAACAGCAUAAUUGCCCCGCAAUGUGAUGCACCAGCCCAUAUGCCACCGAAUCAUUCUCUAACAUAAGUGUACGUCAUCUGAAGAUUGGCAGCCACCGCGUAUACGAGCUCGCCUACACUGGCCCUGAUGCCGUCCAUGACCACCAAUUUUUCGUUACAUCUUCCUCCAAGGCGGAUCCAGUUUCACCUGCAGCAGAAAUGAUAACUGCUGGCAGAACUCCAGACCUGAUAAUGUUGACGCUGAGGAGGAACUGUUUAUCUCUCUCCAUAACAUGCAGAAAAAUAACCAACUAUUUGAGAUAAUGUAAACCCAAAACACAAAAAUAAUUUAAAUAAGUAAAUAAAUAAACUAG
This is a long non-coding RNA of Armigeres subalbatus, 728 nucleotides long. RefSeq lists it as uncharacterized. Lineage: Eukaryota; Metazoa; Arthropoda; Insecta; Diptera; Culicidae. The record is from RefSeq and is a predicted model, not a curated record. The transcript is spliced from 4 exons.